RNAcentral lists this long non-coding RNA (1349 nucleotides) under Phoenix dactylifera (date palm). Its description in RNAcentral is "long non-coding RNA (PDAC_LNC014498)". The record is from RNAcentral. Lineage: Eukaryota; Viridiplantae; Streptophyta; Magnoliopsida; Arecales; Arecaceae.
GAGAAUGAAAAAAGAGUGCACAUAUUUUUGAGUUCCAAGUCAUUUUCUCAACUUUGUUACUCUUGCAUAAAUCAUUGAUGCAAAGUCUAGAUUUAGGUCAUGUUUGGCAUUAUUGUAGGUAAUAGAGCUUUUGUCCUUUAUUGUUUGCUGUUUGGCAACUACAUUUUUAAAAUGCUGAACUUUAACACCUAUUUGCUAACCAAAUUGAGAAAGUAUUUUUAAUAUCAGGCAGCGACAACAAAGGAUAUUGCAUAGUACUUGCAAUUAUUGUUUGUGCUAACAAAGUCUAUUAUUUUAAAGUAUUCUUAAUUUAUAAAUUAUUUAUUUUGAUAUAUUGAUCUGAAUAAUAAAUAACAAAUUUAUAUAUUAUAUAGUUAUAGUAUAAUAAUAUUAUAAUAUGAUUAUUAUAAUAUAACAGUGAUAGUAAUAUAAAAUUAUGACAACAUAAGAUAACAUAACAAUAUUAUAUUAUAUUUUAUUAGUAUAUAAUAAUAUGAUUGUAUUAUUAUAUUAUAUUAUUAUUGUACUAUCAGAAACUAUUAGCAUGGGCUUUUUCAUCUUUGCAGAAUUUUUAUUGAAUUGAAAAUAGUUUUUUUCCAUCAACUUCAAAUUGGAGCUUUUGCUUAAUAGAUAUUUUUUAGCUUUUGGAGGAGGUAGAAAACUGUUUCAAAUUUUUUACCAAACAUCUCAAAAUUGCCUAAAAGAGCUUUUGGACUUUCAACAAGCCCUCUUUGGAGGGCCAAAAGCUUUGCCAAAUGGGACCUUAGUUUGAAGAUUGCUUUCCAUCUUCCUUUUUUUUGUUAAGUUAGAUGGAUCAUACAACUCUAGUAUGGAUGUGUCCAAGAAGUUCAAAAUACAGAAUGUCUACAAAGUGGGCUGGAAGAGUGCCAAUCAUGUCCCAUCUGAUGUCCCCUGAGUGGUUGGCCACAUAAGAAGCCACCUACUCAGCUGCACUAUUAGCCUCUUGAUUACAUCUCCAUCCUUCAUCAUGAUUAAUAUAAACUAUACAGGUGAAGUAGCUAUAACUUUCUCCUUUGUAUCAGACCAAUGAGUCUAUGUUUGGCACUCCCACCUAUAUUAUAAGGGCAAAAGAAAUGAAAACAACCUAAGGCAAACAUUUAGUUAAUUUUGUUUCGAAUCCAAGCAUGUUACUUAAUAAUAGAGCAUCUUUUAUGCAUAAAUGGAGGAUAGGAAGGUAUAGCAAGAAGAGAUUGUAAGGAAAUUUGUGGAAAUUCCAAAGGUGAAGGCUCAACAUUUGAAAGAGAGGUAUGUGUCCCUAGGGGUGUUAGAAUUGGAAAUAGGUGAUCUCCUUAUCUCGAAUGAAAGAUAUUAAUAACCAACUUGAUUAA